GGUUAAGUUAGAAAGGGCGCACGGUGGAUGCCUUGGCACUAGGAGCCGAAGAAGGACGGGACUAACACCGAUAUGCUUUGGGGAGCUGUACGUAAGCGUUGAUCCAGAGAUUUCCGAAUGGGGGAACCCACUAUCUUUAGUCGGAUAGUAUCCUUACGUGAAUACAUAGCGUAAGGAAGGCAGACCCAGGGAACUGAAACAUCUAAGUACCUGGAGGAAGAGAAAGAAAAAUCGAUUUCCUGAGUAGCGGCGAGCGAAACGGAAAGAGCCCAAACCAAGAAGCUUGCUUCUUGGGGUUGUAGGACACUCUAUACGGAGUUACAAAGGAAUGUGGUAAACGAAGUGGUCUGGAAAGGCCCGCCAAAGAAGGUAACAGCCCUGUAAUUGAAAGCAUAUUCCCUCCAGAGUGGAUCCUGAGUACGGCGGAACACGUGAAAUUCCGUCGGAAUCCGGGAGGACCAUCUCCCAAGGCUAAAUACUCCCUAGUGACCGAUAGUGAACCAGUACCGUGAGGGAAAGGUGAAAAGCACCCCGGAAGGGGAGUGAAACAGUUCCUGAAACCGUGUGCCUACAAGUAGUUAGAGCCCGUUAAUGGGUGAUAGCGUGCCUUUUGUAGAAUGAACCGGCGAGUUACGAUUUGUUGCAAGGUUAAGCGGAAAAAGCGGAGCCGUAGCGAAAGCGAGUCUGAAUAGGGCGCAUGAGUAACAGGUCGUAGACCCGAAACCAGGUGAUCUACCCAUGUCCAGGAUGAAGGUGAGGUAAUACUCACUGGAGGUCCGAACCCACGCACGUUGAAAAGUGCGGGGAUGAGGUGUGGGUAGCGGAGAAAUUCCAAUCGAACCUGGAGAUAGCUGGUUCUCUCCGAAAUAGCUUUAGGGCUAGCCUCGAGGUAAAGAGUCGUGGAGGUAGAGCACUGUUUGGACUAGGGGCCCUUCUCGGGUUACCGAAUUCAGAUAAACUCCGAAUGCCAUGUACUUAUACUCGGGAGUCAGACUGCGAGUGAUAAGAUCCGUAGUCGAAAGGGAAACAGCCCAGACCACCAGUUAAGGUCCCAAAAUAUAUGUUAAGUGGAAAAGGAUGUGGGGUUGCAUAGACAACCAGGAUGUUGGCUUAGAAGCAGCCACCAUUGAAAGAGUGCGUAAUAGCUCACUGGUCGAGUGACCCCGCGCCGAAAAUGUACCGGGGCUAAACAUAUUACCGAAACUGUGGAUGAACCUCUU
This 1220-nucleotide ribosomal RNA is filed under the name Listeria booriae. Its description in RNAcentral is "partial 23S ribosomal RNA". It matches the Rfam family "Bacterial large subunit ribosomal RNA", at positions 1 to 1216 of the family's 2925-position model. Lineage: Bacteria; Bacillati; Bacillota; Bacilli; Caryophanales; Listeriaceae. The record is from RNAcentral.